GGCAGUUGUACUGUUAAGGAAAACCACGUGGUGGAGGACAGUCCAGAGGAAGAAGCAGAUGGAGGAAAGGUUGCACGGUUGCACCUUAACAAGUCCGAAGAAUGGCGCAGUGGGGAUAUGGAUUCCUAAUGGUAAUAUGGUGUGCAGUGGAAGAUUUGCUGAUCAGCGGCGUGGAUGGCCAGCAAAGGCAUUCAAACUCACUAUGAAAAUCCGGCUUUCCAUAUAAAUCCUUAUGCUGAAAUUCACAUAGAAGUACUGGAAUCUUGUCAUGUCAGACACAAAUCACUUGGGGGGUAAACUUGCGGCAAAGGUUUGGAGUGGACGCAAGGAGUAGACCAUGCUAUACAUGUACUCCAAUGUAACUUUGAUGCUUGAAAGCGUUCUCCCAUCAUGGGGGUGAGGGAAAAGACUUGCACCUUGUCUGUCAGUCCAUCACAAGAGUUUCCCAGACUUUUAAUGCCGUUUCGUUCUUUGAUGGACUUUGACAUAGUUAUUUUUCUCACUACUCUAAACUCUGAGAGGGUAUGUAUUGUUCUAGCAAGGCUUUCAGACGGCUGGUUUUGUCAGUCUUUGGCACAAAGCUCUUCUGCUCAAUCUUGUCUCCUCUGGGGAUUGGUUGAUAUGUCUUUGUGCCGAUAUCAUCACCCCAACUAGCAGCAGGGGUUUGUAAUCACAGCCACUGUCCGAUUCCUGGGGGACAUUGCAAAACUGGCCAUUUGCCACAGCUCAUGAGAACAUUAAUUUUAGAGCAGCAUCAAUGACUUUCACUGUCGUUCAAAAUGUGGGGCAAUGCUAAUCAGGUGUGUAAGCUAACGUCACUAUUGCAAAAAGUAUAAUUUCAAAACUGUGUGGGUUUCCCCCUGGGCUCUGCCCGGUUUUCUCCCACCAUGAAGCUGGUUGCCGUCGUAUAAGUGAAGUAGUCUUGAGUACAGCGCAAAACACAAAUUAAAUGAAUGAAUAAAACAAAUCUUUGGUGGGAACCUUGGCAAUUAUUUGGCCCAUUGUGACUAAAUUGAUUAUCAGAUUAUUAUUCACUUUCAGGCCUGGGAUUGAAGGAUGACUGGGACAGGUGAAAUGUCAAGACUUUCCUUGAUCCCAGUGUGUGUUGCCUAAGUUGUCCUGGUGAUGGUAAAAGGAUUCAACUUCUGAAGGAAGUCCAAGGAAAUGAGUACCUUUUACAUAGUGAGUGCAUUGACUUGAUUGGUAGAGUUUCCUGGGACCCAAAUCAGACCAGAUGGCUACCCUGUGUGAAAACUACAGAAUUAUUGAAGAAAUGAACUCCAAUCUGUCCUCAAACAUUGAUAUGAAAGACGCACAACACAUUG
This is a long non-coding RNA of Liolophura sinensis, 1325 nucleotides long. RefSeq lists it as uncharacterized. The record is from RefSeq and is a predicted model, not a curated record. The transcript has 8 exons. NCBI's taxonomy places the organism in Eukaryota, Metazoa, Mollusca, Polyplacophora, Chitonida, Chitonidae.